AGUUGAUUAUUAUUACCCCGAUUUAAAUUGGAGCGUGCAGAUGUACAUGGUAAUCAUCCUACCCCUACUGAUAUUGAUUUGCCAAGUGAGAGAAUUGAAAUACUUGGUGCCCUUUUCCAUGCUUGCCAAUAUCUUCUUGGUUAUUUCAUUCGCCAUCACGUUGUACUAUAUGUUCAACGGUUCCUUUACAAUGGAAGGCAAAAAUCUUAUGGCUCCUAUUUCGCGAAUUCCGCUCUUCCUUAGCACCGUCGUUUUCGCUAUGGAGGGAAUUGGUCUGGUUAUGCCGGUCGAAAACAACAUGAAAAAACCCCAUCAUUUCUUGGGAUGUCCCGGUGUGUUAAAUACUGCCAUGGCUACUGUCGUUGUCCUCUAUGGCGUCAUUGGAUUCUUCGGAUACUUGAAGUAUGGAGAAGCAACAGAAGGCAGCAUCACAUACAACUUACCAGUUGAUGAAAUGUUCGGUAUCAAACAAAGAGGAAAGUCUUAUUUUUAACGUUGCUGAUGCGUGCUGAUGUCGGGGAAAAAUUUUUUUGGACUUGAAAAGACUUGCCCAAGUGGUAAAAUGUUUAGUGGCGUUAGCCAUCUUUUUCACCUACAGUCUUCAGUUCUACGUUGCUUACUCGAUAACUUGGGGAAUAACAGGCAAACAUAUUUCAACGAAAUUUCAUAAUUUAACUCAAAUUGUACUAAGAACUCUCUUAGUUUCUAUGACAGUUGGUGUAGCUGCAUUAGUGCCGGACUUAGAACCAAUCAUUGGCUUAGUCGGAUCCAUUUGCCUUUCCAUGCUUGGAAUAUUCAUCCCAGCUGUUGUUGACACUGUCAUUUCCUGGGAAGGUGAGCUUGGAACGCUAAAAUGGAAACUUUGGAAGAACAUAGCUCUCAUGCUUUUUGCCUUAUUUGCGCUCAUAUCGGGUUCAUACGAAAGUAUAUUGGGACUGAUGAAGUGAAAAACUUAUAAUAAAACAGAAAAGACAGUAAUGGCUCCUUCUACUGUGUAAAAGAGACAAAAAAGACUC
This is an RNA transcript of Agrilus planipennis (emerald ash borer), 1016 nucleotides long. It is a transcript of the gene named proton-coupled amino acid transporter-like protein pathetic, with no coding region annotated. The transcript has 3 exons. The record is from RefSeq and is a predicted model, not a curated record. NCBI's taxonomy places the organism in Eukaryota, Metazoa, Arthropoda, Insecta, Coleoptera, Buprestidae.